This 64-nucleotide transfer RNA is filed under the name Australicapitona hopei. Its description in RNAcentral is "tRNA-Leu". Lineage: Eukaryota; Metazoa; Arthropoda; Insecta; Coleoptera; Carabidae. The record is from RNAcentral.
AUUACUUUGGCAGAAUAGUGCAAUGAAUUUAGAAUUCAUGAAUGUGAUUUUUUCACAGGUAAUA